This 328-nucleotide small nuclear RNA is filed under the name Egretta garzetta (little egret). RNAcentral describes it as "7SK RNA". It matches the Rfam family "7SK RNA". From Rfam's summary of the family: 7SK was discovered as an abundant small nuclear RNA in the mid-70s but a possible function has only recently been suggested. Two independent studies have found that 7SK RNA binds the CDK9/cyclin T complex (known as elongation factor P-TEFb). P-TEFb activates transcription by phosphorylating the C-terminal domain of RNA polymerase II. The record is from Rfam by way of RNAcentral. Lineage: Eukaryota; Metazoa; Chordata; Aves; Pelecaniformes; Ardeidae.
GGAUGUGAGGGCGAUCUGGCUGCGACAUCUGUCACCCCAUUGAUCGCCAGGGUUGAUUCGGCUGAUCUGGCUGGCUAGGCGGGUGUCCCCUUCCUCCCUCACCGCUCCAUGUGCGUCCCUCCCGAAGCUGCGCGCUCGGUCGAAGAGGACGACCUUCCCCGAUAGAGACGGACCGUUCAUCGGUCAAGGGUAUACGGUAGCUGCGCUCCCCUGCUAGAACCUCCAAACAAGCUCAAGGUCCAUUUGUAGGAGAACGUAGGGUAGUCAAGCUUCCAAGACUGCAGACACAUCCAAGUGAGGCACUGCACGGGGCAGUCUGCCAUUGUUU